Molecule: non-coding RNA, 502 nt
Filed under: Nipponia nippon (crested ibis)
Lineage: Eukaryota; Metazoa; Chordata; Aves; Pelecaniformes; Threskiornithidae
Description: Eukaryotic small subunit ribosomal RNA
Rfam family: Eukaryotic small subunit ribosomal RNA
Source: Rfam by way of RNAcentral
UAGUUAGAACAAGAUCAGUCAGAAAAACUGUAAGAAAACAGUGUUGGCUAGACUGUCCUUUCUGCUGGAAUAGCCUCCACUGAAAAUAGUACUACUACUACUACUACUACUAGUACUAAAAAAACCCAAACCAACAAAACCCAAUACUUUAGAGGGCACUCAUUGAGAAGUUUGAUAGAUUUUUCUGAAGAAAUUGAAGUGUUCAAAGCUGGCUGGCCAACAGUGCACUCCAGCCAGGAAUAACAGAAUAGGACUCUGGCUCUUUUGUUGUUUUUUUGGAAGCGGGGCCAUGAUUAAGAGCAAUGGCUGGGGGCAUUCAUAUUGUGCCACUUGAACUGGAAUUCUUGGACCAGUGCAAGAUGAACUAAAGCAAAAUUAUUUGCCAAGAAUGUUUCCAUUAAUCAAGAACAAAAGCUGGAGGCUUGUGGCCAACUCACUAUCAGGUGGCGUUACUUCCAUCACGCGCCAGGCACUCACCGUACACCCAAGUCUUUGGGUUCUG